ACCUGGUUGAUCCUGCCAGAGGCGACCGCUUUUGGAGUUCGAUUAAGCCAUGCGAGUCGAGAGCCUUAGGGGCUCGGCAUACUGCUCAGUAACACGUGGAUAACCUGCCCUAUUGUCUGGAAUAACCUCGGGAAACUGAGAACAAGGCCGGAUAGCCCACAAUGCCUGGAACGGUUUGUGGGUGAAGAUAGGAUGGGUCUGCGGCGUAUCAGGUCGUAGGGGGUGUAAUGGACCUCCUAGCCAUCGACGCGUACGGGUGUUGGGAGACAUAGCCCGGAGAUGGAUUCUGAGACACGAAUCCAGACCCUACGGGGUGCAGCAGGCGCGAAAACUUCACACUGCAGGAAACUGUGAUGAGGGAACUCCAAGUGCAUUCACUAUGUGGAUGCUUUUUUUGACUAUUAAUCGGUCAACGAAUAAGGGCUGGGAAAGACCGGUGCCAGCCGCCGCGGUAAUACCGGCAGCUCAAGUGGUCGUCGCUUUUAUUGGGCCUAAAACGUCCGUAGCCUGUUUGGUAAAUCUGUGGGUAAAUCAACCAGCUUAACUGGUUGAAUUCUGCAGAGACUGCCAGACUAGGGACCGGGAGAGGUGUGGGGUACU
Molecule: ribosomal RNA, 600 nt
Filed under: uncultured Candidatus Poseidoniales archaeon
Lineage: Archaea; Methanobacteriati; Thermoplasmatota; Candidatus Poseidoniia; Candidatus Poseidoniales
Description: bacterial SSU rRNA
Rfam family: Archaeal small subunit ribosomal RNA
Source: RNAcentral